This 77-nucleotide microRNA precursor is filed under the name Schistosoma margrebowiei. Its description in RNAcentral is "mir-3492 microRNA precursor family". It matches the Rfam family "mir-3492 microRNA precursor family". The record is from Rfam by way of RNAcentral. Lineage: Eukaryota; Metazoa; Platyhelminthes; Trematoda; Strigeidida; Schistosomatidae.
AGCUUUUCGAAUCCGUGCUGAGACUUCGUCCGACACCAAUCAAUUAGGUCUGAUCAGACUUCCAAAUAAGUGAAGUU